Molecule: non-coding RNA, 286 nt
Filed under: Microcebus murinus (gray mouse lemur)
Lineage: Eukaryota; Metazoa; Chordata; Mammalia; Primates; Cheirogaleidae
Source: RNAcentral
GCUAGGCACAGUGGUGCAUGCCUGUAGUCCCAGCACUGUGGCAGCUGAGGUGAAAGCGUUGGUUGAGCCCAGGAGUUCUGGGUUAUAGUUCUGAGCUAUAGUUCCUGAUGCUGAUCAGAUACUAAAUUAGGUACUAAAUUGGGUAUCAGUAUGGUGACUUACUUUCUUGUUGCCUAAGCAGGGGUGAACUGAGCAGAUCAAAACUCUUGUGCUGAUGAGUAGUGGGAUGACACCUGUGAAUAGCCACUGCACUCCAACCUGGGCAACAUAGUGAGACCUUGUCUCU